Molecule: ribosomal RNA, 355 nt
Filed under: uncultured bacterium
Lineage: Bacteria
Description: bacterial SSU rRNA
Rfam family: Bacterial small subunit ribosomal RNA
Source: RNAcentral
GUAGGGGGCAAGCGUUAUCCGGAUUUACUGGGUGUAAAGGGAGCGUAGGCGGCGAUUUAAGUCAGAUGUGAAAACUCAGGGCUCAACCUUGAGACUGCAUCUGAAACUGAGUUGCUAGAGUGCAGGAGAGGAAAGCGGAAGUCCGAGUGUAGCGGUGAAAUGCGUAGAUAUUAGGAGGAACACCAGUGGCGAAGGCGGCUUGCUGGACGAUGACUGACGUUGAGGCUCGAAUGCGUGGGGAGCAAACAGGAUUAGAUACCCUGGUAGUCCACGCCGUAAACGAUGACUGCUAGGUGUCGGGUGGCAAAGCCAUUCGGUGCCGCAGCUAACGCAAUAAGCAGUCCACCUGGGGAGU